GACGAACGCUGGCGGCGUGCUUAACACAUGCAAGUCGAACGAAGAGCGAUGGAAGCUUGCUUCUAUCAAUCUUAGUGGCGAACGGGUGAGUAACGCGUAAUCAACCUGCCCUUCAGAGGGGGACAACAGUUGGAAACGACUGCUAAUACCGCAUACGAUCUGACCUCGGCAUCGAGGAUAGAUGAAAGGUGGCCUCUACAUGUAAGCUAUCACUGAAGGAGGGGAUUGCGUCUGAUUAGCUAGUUGGAGGGGUAACGGCCCACCAAGGCGAUGAUCAGUAGCCGGUCUGAGAGGAUGAACGGCCACCUUGGGACUGAGACACGGCCCAGACUCCUACGGGAGGCAGCAGUGGGGAAUCUUCCGCAAUGGACGAAAGUCUGACGGAGCAACGCCGCGUGAGUGAUGACGGCCUUCGGGUUGUAAAGCUCUGUUAAUCGGGACGAAAGGCCUUUUUGCGAAUAGUGAGAAGGAUUGACGGUACCGGAAUAGAAAGCCACGGCUAACUACGUG
This 510-nucleotide ribosomal RNA is filed under the name uncultured bacterium. RNAcentral describes it as "partial 16S ribosomal RNA". It matches the Rfam family "Bacterial small subunit ribosomal RNA", at positions 28 to 507 of the family's 1533-position model. The record is from RNAcentral.